UUUAUCCUACGGGAGGCAGCAGUGGGGAGUAUUGCGCAAUGGACGAAAGUCUGACGCAGCGACGCCGCGUGAGGGAUGAAGGUUUUCGGAUCGUAAACCUCUGUCAGGAGGGAAGAAAGCGCAUGGCGCCAAUCAGCCAUGCGUUGACGGUACCUCCAAAGGAAGCGCCGGCUAACUCCGUGCCAGCAGCCGCGGUAAUACGGAGGAUGCGAGCGUUAUCCGGAUUUAUUGGGUUUAAAGGGUGCGUAGGCGGUCCGGAAAGUCAGCGGUAAAAGCCCGGGUCUCAACCCCGGCGAGCCGUUGAA
RNAcentral lists this ribosomal RNA (305 nucleotides) under uncultured bacterium. RNAcentral describes it as "bacterial SSU rRNA". It matches the Rfam family "Bacterial small subunit ribosomal RNA", at positions 333 to 631 of the family's 1533-position model. The record is from RNAcentral.